UCGACCUGAGCUCAUGCAAG
Molecule: ribosomal RNA, 20 nt
Filed under: Coronastrum ellipsoideum
Lineage: Eukaryota; Viridiplantae; Chlorophyta; Chlorophyceae; Sphaeropleales; Scenedesmaceae
Description: partial 28S ribosomal RNA
Source: RNAcentral